Molecule: transfer RNA, 73 nt
Filed under: Spirochaetaceae bacterium
Lineage: Bacteria; Pseudomonadati; Spirochaetota; Spirochaetia; Spirochaetales; Spirochaetaceae
Description: tRNA-Pro
Rfam family: tRNA
About the family: Transfer RNA (tRNA) molecules are approximately 80 nucleotides in length. Their secondary structure includes four short double-helical elements and three loops (D, anti-codon, and T loops).
Source: RNAcentral
CGGGAUGUAGCCUAGCGGCCAAGGCGCCUGCUUUGGGAGCAGGAGAUCGGAGGUUCGAGUCCUCUCAUCCCGA